This is a long non-coding RNA of Neofelis nebulosa (Clouded leopard), 2139 nucleotides long. RefSeq lists it as uncharacterized. The transcript is spliced from 2 exons. NCBI's taxonomy places the organism in Eukaryota, Metazoa, Chordata, Mammalia, Carnivora, Felidae. The record is from RefSeq and is a predicted model, not a curated record.
UGCUGAUUUAGCAUCUCUAGUUUAAUGAACGUAACUCUCUGGAUAGACAUUCAGGUAUAUGAGGUUUGUCAUAUUAAUUGUUGCUCAAGUCUGAAUUUAUUGGAUCUCUAAUUGCUGGGAGCAAUUUCCUCACUAGCUUAAUGUUUUACAGAUGUAAUGACAGUUGUUUAAAAUGUUCCUAAGUUUUCCCAUAGCUUAGUUUUAUUGCAUCCACUGAAUUCUGCAGUUUUUCAAAUUUGAUUAAAAAACAAAAAAUUUUAUUCACUUUCUAUUGCAUUUUUAACAAUACAAAAACAUUUGAUUUUUCUGAGAUAUACAGCUUUUUAUUUUUAUUUUUAUUUAUUUUUAAUUUUUUUUAACAUUUAUUUAUUAUUGAGAGAUAAGAUAGAGCAUGAGCAGGGGAGGGGUAGAGAGAGGGGAGACACAGAAUCCGAAGCAGGCUCCAGGCUCUGAGCUGUCAGCACAUAGCCCAACUUGGGUCUCAAACUCACUAACUGUGAGAUCAUGACCUGAGCUGAAGUCAGUGGCCUAACCAACUGAGCCACCCAGGCACCCCGAGAUAUAUAGCCUUUUAGAUACAGAUAUUUAGUUCUAGAUUAUUCAGCAUGUAAUAAUGUUAAAAGAACUCUAUAAAAGAACAACCAGUCUUUAUAUCCGCAUAGCAGAGAUCUUAAAAUGGAAAUAAAAUAAGAUUGGAACACGAAGAGAAGAGAAUGUUGCCAAGUAAGGUUUGAUAAAACCUAUUAAGUAAAGUCAAUAACUAGUAAAAUCAGUUUAAGCGUCAGGAUACAUAAUGUCAUUUAUAGAAUUCUGUAAUCUAUACAGUAUAGUUUUGUUCCGUUGUAAACAUUUGCAGAUCUUUAAGUGAUUUUUGCAUCAAUGGAAGGUCAUGUUAUUUCUAAAAUUCCAUUACCAGAUUGUGGUAGUUUUCUAUGAUACAACAUAUAAAUAAUAUUUAUCUAAAAAAAAAAAACCUUGAAAUCCAUUUCACACGUUGUUAUUAACAUGAACUGUUAUGUAUUUUUCAACCAAUUCCAGAUGUUUUAAGAUUUUAUUUUUCAGCGCAGACUCAGCCUGAUAGCAACCAUCUGUCCUGUCCUGGAUGAUUCAAAUUCAUCUCUGAAAGCAUGAGAAUGGAUUUGAACUUGAUAAACUGAUCUUAAAUUUCGUACGGAAAUGCAAGGGACCAGCACAUCUUGAAAUAGAAAGGACCCAUGCUUCUUGACUUCAGAACUGGCUACAAACUACAGUAAUCAAGAUAGUGUGGGACUGGCAUAAGGAUCAAAAUACAGGUUAAUAGAAUGAAGAAUAGAGAAAUAAGCCAUUUAUAAUCGAUCGAGAAAAUUAAUGGGGAAGAACAGUCUUAAAUAGUAUUGGGACAACUGGAUAUCCACAUGCAGAAGAAUGAGGUUAGACUCCCACCUCACAUCAUAUACAAAAAUUGACUCAAGAUAGAUCAAAUAACUAAAUGAAAGAGCUAAAACAAAACUGUUAGAAGAAUACGCAAGUGUAAAUCUUCAUGACUUCGAGUUAAGCAAAGCCUUCUUAGAUAUAACAACAAAAGCACAAACAACAAAAGAAAAAAUAAAUCGAACUUUAUCAAAAUUAAAUAAUUUUGUGCUUCAAAGGACAGACACCAUUAAGGAAGUGAAAAGGCAACCUAAACUACAGAAUGAGAGAAAACAUUUGCAAUUCAUGUAUCUGAUAAGGGACUUACAUCCAGAACAUGUAAAGAACUCUCACAGUUUAAAAAGACAACUAAAACCAUUUAAAAAUGGGCACCGAAUAGACGUUUCUCCAAAGAAUGGCACAUGCAAAGAUGCUCAACAUCAUUAUUUAUGAGGGAAAUGCGAAUCAAAACCACAAAACCUCUUCAUAUCCACCAGGAUGGCUAAAAUCAAGACCGUAACAAGUGCUGGUGAGGAUGUAGAGAAAUUAAAACACUCCACAUUGCUGGUGGAAUCGUAAAAAGGGACAGCCACUUUGGAAAACAGUUUGGCAGUUUCUCAAGAUGUUGAACACCAUUACCAAAUGAUCUAGCAGUUUCACUCCUAGGUAUAUACCCAAGAAAAUGGAAAACCUAUGCACACCAAAAUGUGCAAAUAUUCACAUUAUUAUAUAUAAUUCACAUUAUUAUAG